This 245-nucleotide unclassified non-coding RNA is filed under the name Pyrenochaeta sp. RNAcentral's name for it is "partial contains 5.8S ribosomal RNA, internal transcribed spacer 2, and large subunit ribosomal RNA". The record is from RNAcentral. Lineage: Eukaryota; Fungi; Ascomycota; Dothideomycetes; Pleosporales; Cucurbitariaceae.
CGCACAUUGCGCCCCUUGGUAUUCCAUGGGGCAUGCCUGUUCGAGCGUCAUUUGUACCUUCAAGCUCUGCUUGGUGUUGGGUGUUUGUUCUGCUGUACGCAUGAACUCGCCUUAAAUCAAUUGGCAGCCGACAAUUUGGUGUUUGAGCGCAGCACAUUUUGCGCUUUUCGCUCUAUUGUGGCGUCCACGAAGCCCACCUUUAUACGCUUGACCUCGGAUCAGGUAGGGAUACCCGCUGAACUUAA